CCUACGGGAGGCAGCAGUGGGGAAUAUUGCGCAAUGGGCGAAAGCCUGCCGCAGCGACGCCGCGUGAGGGAUGAAGGUCUUCGGAUCGUAACCCUCUGUCAGCAGGGAAGAACGGUCACUGUGCUAAUCAGCAGUGAAUUGACGGUACCUGCAAAGGAAGCACCGGCUAACUCCGUGCCAGCAGCCGCGGUAAUACGGAGGGUGCGAGCGUUAAUCGGAAUUACUGGGCGUAAAGCGCUCGUAGGCGGUAUGUCAAGUCAAGGGUGAAAUCCCCGCGCUCAACGUGGGAACUGCCUUUGAAACUGGCAAACUGGAGUGUGUGAGAGGAUAGUGGAAUGCCAGGUGUAGGAGUGAAAUCCGUAGAUAUCAGGAGGAACAUCGGUGGCGUAAGCGCUUUACUGGGCCGUAAUUGACACUGAGGAACGAAAGCCGGGGUAGCAAAUGGGAUUAGAUACCCCAGUAGUC
Molecule: ribosomal RNA, 465 nt
Filed under: uncultured bacterium
Lineage: Bacteria
Description: partial 16S ribosomal RNA
Rfam family: Bacterial small subunit ribosomal RNA
Source: RNAcentral